AUUGAACGCUGGCGGCAGGCCUAACACAUGCAAGUCGAGCGGUAACAGGAGAAAGCUUGCUUUCUUGCUGACGAGCGGCGGACGGGUGAGUAAUGUAUGGGGAUCUGCCCGAUAGAGGGGGAUAACUACUGGAAACGGUAGCUAAUACCGCAUGACGUCUACGGACCAAAGCAGGGGCUCUUCGGACCUUGCGCUAUCGGAUGAACCCAUAUGGGAUUAGCUAGUAGGUGAGGUAAUGGCUCACCUAGGCGACGAUCUCUAGCUGGUCUGAGAGGAUGAUCAGCCACACUGGGACUGAGACACGGCCCAG
RNAcentral lists this ribosomal RNA (310 nucleotides) under uncultured bacterium. Its description in RNAcentral is "bacterial SSU rRNA". It matches the Rfam family "Bacterial small subunit ribosomal RNA", at positions 30 to 334 of the family's 1533-position model. The record is from RNAcentral.